This 491-nucleotide ribosomal RNA is filed under the name uncultured bacterium. Its description in RNAcentral is "partial 16S ribosomal RNA". It matches the Rfam family "Bacterial small subunit ribosomal RNA", at positions 30 to 507 of the family's 1533-position model. The record is from RNAcentral.
UUGAACGCUGGCGGCAUGCUUUACACCUGCAAGUCGAACGGUAACAGGCCUUCGGGUGCUGACGAGUGGCGAACGGGUGAGUAAUGCAUCGGAACGUGCCCAGAGGUGGGGGAUAACGCAGCGAAAGCUGUGCUAAUACCGCAUGUGAUCUGAGGAUGAAAGCGGGGGACCAGGCAGCAAUGUUUGGCCUCGCGCCUUUGGAGCGGCCGAUGUCAGAUUAGGUAGUUGGUGGGGUAAAGGCCUACCAAGCCGACGAUCUGUAGCUGGUCUGAGAGGACGACCAGCCACACUGGGACUGAGACACGGCCCAGACUCCUACGGGAGGCAGCAGUGGGGAAUUUUGGACAAUGGGCGCAAGCCUGAUCCAGCAAUGCCGCGUGCGGGAAGAAGGCCUUCGGGUUGUAAACCGCUUUUGUACGGAACGAAAAGGCUCUGGCUAAUACCUGGGGCUGAUGACGGUACCGGAAGAAUAAGCACCGGCUAACUACGUG